RNAcentral lists this long non-coding RNA (684 nucleotides) under Brassica napus (rape). RNAcentral's name for it is "long non-coding RNA (BNAP_LNC020997)". The record is from RNAcentral. Lineage: Eukaryota; Viridiplantae; Streptophyta; Magnoliopsida; Brassicales; Brassicaceae.
UUGAUUCUCCACAGAUCUCAUUCAGAGAAGAUCUCUCUUCUUCUCUUCCUUAAUUUUAAUCCAUGUUUUAUUUUUCUCUUCUCAUACUUCUUCUGUUUCUUUUAGAUCUGUGAUUCUUUCAAAAUAAAUCACCACCGCUUCAGCUCCUCGGACCACCAUCGCCAUCUCUCCAGCUCCAAGGACCGCUAUCACCACCACUACUGCAGCUCCUCGGACCGCUUCGCCACCUGUAUGUAACUAAUUUUUAUUUAAUAUAACAUAUAUCUCUUUCUUAUCUUGAUUCUCCACAGAUCUCAUUCAGAGAAGAUCUCUCUUCUUCUCUUCCUUAAUUUUAAUCCAUGUUUUAUUUUUCUCUUCUCAUACUUCUUCUGUUUCUUUUAGAUCUGUGAUUCUUUCAAAAUAAAUCACCACCGCUUCAGCUCCUCGGACCACCAUCGCCAUCUCUCCAGCUCCAAGGACCGCUAUCACCACCACCACUGCAGCUCCUCGGACCGCUUCGCCACCGCCUCAACUCCUUCCACACCACCACUGCCGUAACUCCUUCCCUGCCAUUGCCGCUCACUCUCCCUUCACUGUGAAGGCUUCAUACGCUACAUCUCCAACUUCAUAUUCACACUUUAGAUCUACGCUGUUGCACCCUACGCCGAGACCAUCGUACCCGGAGCCCUUACACGGCCACCGGCA